UUUCCGUAGGUGAACCUGCGGAAGGAUCAUUCAUAAUAAAGUGUUUUAUGGCACUUUUUAAAAAGCCAUAUUCACCUUGUGUGCAAUGUUAGAUCUCGUCAAUCUUGUCGGUAUUUUUAUACAUCAACUCAUUUUUUAACUAAUUUGUCUGGCAUAUGUUAUGAAUACUUAAAUCAAAAUACAACUUUCAACAACGGAUCUCUUGGCUCUC
RNAcentral lists this unclassified non-coding RNA (211 nucleotides) under plant metagenome. RNAcentral's name for it is "partial contains small subunit ribosomal RNA, internal transcribed spacer 1, and 5.8S ribosomal RNA". The record is from RNAcentral.